Grus americana (Whooping crane) is the source of this 393-nucleotide non-coding RNA. The record is from the annotation of a RefSeq genome assembly. Lineage: Eukaryota; Metazoa; Chordata; Aves; Gruiformes; Gruidae.
AUGCGGCGGUGCCGGGGCGCAGGGCUGGCGGGGCUGGCCGCGGUGCUCCUGGUGGCUGUGGGCAGAGCCCAGGUGCAGCAGGAGCCGUCGGCAGAGACCUCCGAGGGCACCGGCAUCAACAUCAACUGCUCACACCCCAACAGAAAGGCUUACGACUUCAUCUACUGGUACCGUCAGCUCCCGGGCCGAGGCCCCGCAUUCCUCGUGAGCGCUCUUAAAGAGUCCAAAGAGGUGCCGGACCCGCCGGGGCGGCUGUGGGUGGCGGCAGACCGCCGGUCCAGCGCCCUGUGGCUCGCCCGGCCCCGGCGCGGGGACGCGGCGGUGUAUUACUGCGCCUUGCAAGCAUCAGGACCCUCGUGCUGGCAGGUCCUUGGGCACCCCACGAAGGAAGAG